CAGAAGCUGCUCGGUGCACCCUACCUUGGA
This 30-nucleotide ribosomal RNA is filed under the name Pestalotiopsis microspora. Its description in RNAcentral is "partial 18S ribosomal RNA". The record is from RNAcentral. Lineage: Eukaryota; Fungi; Ascomycota; Sordariomycetes; Amphisphaeriales; Sporocadaceae.